UCAGUGUUGAGUGUAAACCCUGAUAUCAGUCGCCACUACCACAUCUGUCCCCCACCAGUCUGUUGCUGCUGUUGUUGUUGUUUUCUUGACGCUUGUACAUAAGAGUAAAUACUCCUAAGUCUUCUAUAGCAAUAACAGGCAACCAGAACAAUUAACAGCAGGAAGUUAAUGGAGGAAGAUACACACGAGCUGAUACUAUAUUGGGUUUUGUAAUGUUUCAUUGUAAGGAGCCGGGGGACCCUUCAACCCGACAGAUCAAUAGUGAUGGUACUGCUGGUCGGUGGCACACAGCAGCUUAUAUACUAAGAGAAUCUUAUGGUGUUUUGGGUGGUUGCAGAGAGUGCACUGUUUAUCAAAUUACGCUUUGGUUUUUACUGUAGGGUCACCUGAAGCCUGAAACGAAUACACCUUUCUGGUUGUCAAAAUGCCUAAUUAUUCAAGAUGUUGCUAGUGCCUGAAAUAAAGAAGUCUCCGUUUUUUUUAAAAUUUCAGUAGAUACUGGAUGUAUUUUUUUUAAAGUUUGAAUUAGGUUGUCUAUUACCGAAGUUUUUUUUUUUGUUUUUAUUUUAUAAUUAUUUAUUUAUUAGAUUCUGAAUUUUACGUACGAUGUCUGCUGUAAUUGCAAUAACAUGGAUACUUUCGUUUAUGGAUAAAGGCCAGGCUGGCAUUUCUUAUGAUCUUUCUUUUUACUUAGAAUACUUACUUAAAGCAUAUUGUGAUCAAUAAUAGUUAGGCACUAUCAUUCUAAUAAAUUUUUUGAAGUGUUUCCGAGAGAAUUCUAAGUUUAAAUGUUUUUUAAUGUUCUGUUGGCAGCAUGUAGAAUGUAAUAACGUGGAGAAUGCAUAGAAUGACAAAUGUUAGGAGAAACCUUCAAAGGAAGAUUUGUCGAUUACAAUUUUUUUAAGAUUUUCUAUAAAUUCUACAUAUUAGUUUCAUGAAAAUCUGUUUUAAUUAUUGGUUCUCAGAGAUUACUUAGAAAAAUACUCGUUCAGGUGUCAAACGACACUUGGAUUCUAGCAGAGUAAUUGGUAAAAAUACCUGAGCAUGUAUGCGCGUGUGAAUUAAACAGAAUGCUUUAUCAACAUAAUUUGUUCUUCAUCCAUUAGUUACAGUUUAAGGAAAUUCAAACAUAUUAAAAAAAACUAACAAAACUUUCAUCUUGGGAGAAAGUAAGGGUGCGUGUGUAAUUAAUAAUUGUGGGAAAUUUUAAUUGCAGUUUUUAUAAGAACCGCAGAAGACUUCAGUGAAUUACAGUGACAGAAUAAUAAUUGUCUUUCAUAAUACAGGGGUUGAUAGAGAGUGGUCCGAAUUGAGAAAGAGAGACUAUCGGAAGAUGUUGAUAGGAAACAAUGAAGUAAAAGAAAAUAAGUGAAUAUAUGGCGAUUAUAUUGGAUAGAAGUAGUGGAGGUGGUUGUAAUCGAUGGUAGUGGUGUCAUACACUGUGUUAAUGCCGCUGAUAAGAUGCUAAGCAAUGUUUUGUAAUAAUAAUGAUGUCGAAAGCUUUUGUGUUGUAUUAUAGAGUUCCUGGUUAUUUGGUGACCGCGAUAUUCGGCUCUGGUUGUUUUGUUGUUCAGUCUGUAAUAGUGAAUAUUAAGGUGGUGAUGACGGCGGUUCUGAGAGAGAGAAGGAGAGGGGAUAAAAACGAGCGAACACGAGAGAUGUUAGCCUAAACAGAACACGUAGAGCUUGCUUAGUACAAGAAACCCAGCGUGUGUUAGUAUGAGGAGAGGAGGAGAUGGAGAAAAAGAGAGAAGGAAGCAGGCUACGUCACCAGAUGAAUAUUGAAUUGCAAUUGGAGCUAACGGCACCCCUGGGGGAUGUUCCCUAGGGAGGCGACCUUUCGCAUACUGAGUCAGACGCGUGAUUUGGGUACGGUUUCUAGCCGUUUUAGUUCGGUUAGAAUAACAGUGUAUUUUUAGCUAGAGAGAAAGGGAGAAAGGAAUAUGCCCGUAUUCACCAAUAAUACAGUCGAAUGUUUUUUUUUUUAAUGUUGUUUUUAUCCUAUGAGAACCAAGUCACGCUGGCCACUGCCAUUCACAGCACAAGUCGGCUGGGCAUUUACUACCACUCUUUCUUCCACUCCUUCUUUCCUCUACUUCUCCAGUCCCCCGAUGGAAGCAGUGGUAGGUGGAUUCCUUAUUCUAUGCCAUCUUUAGUAGCCAUGGUAUAGUGAGUGGGCACUCAAGAGGCGGGAUAUUUCUCUCUAUAGAAGGCGUAUCUCAUAUGGAUUACAUAGAGAGGAAAUCGACUGAAUUAAGGCGGAAGAAAGUAGUUUUUAAGUUUGGCUCUCUUUUCUGCUGCUGCUGCUGCUUCCACACUUUUUCCCUCCUUCCCUCUCUGUUUCUCCAAUACUUUCUUCUCCACUCACAUGCUGAACUUGAAACACUUUCACUUUAUAUGUAAACACAUGUAUGCACAUGCGCAGUUGCUUAGCCAGGGGCAAGUAACUCCAUGAAGAGGCCGGUAGGGGUGUGUACGUGCCUACAUCCAUUGGUUGCAUCAUUG
RNAcentral lists this long non-coding RNA (2505 nucleotides) under Octopus sinensis (East Asian common octopus). RNAcentral describes it as "uncharacterized LOC118761204". Lineage: Eukaryota; Metazoa; Mollusca; Cephalopoda; Octopoda; Octopodidae. The record is from RNAcentral.